CAUUCAAUCAUUCAUUACAAAUAUAAUUUCACUAAAACUCAACCACCGAACAACGCAGUUUUAAUAAUGCUAAGCAAGUGAUAUUGUGCCUCCGGAUAUACGAGAUACAUAAAUUAAACACGCUUAGUAUGUGCAGAGUAGACAUCCCUUACAAGGCAAAACGCAUCGGUAAUUUUAUCCCUGAGUAAAUAAACUUCGAAUAUAGCUUUAAAACCAAGCAAAAAUAUGGCGUAGAAAAAGUAUUACAUGUUGUAAUUGAAGCUUUGGCAAUACUCGCUCCAGCCGACUACGCUGGACCCCAGCCAGGAAUGAAGAAAAUAAUCCAAAUUUAACCCAUUAAUAUUUGAGGCCUUUGGAACUACAUUCACCUGCAAAGUCGUCAAAUAUUUCUUCAAAGCACGUUCCCUAUGGCACGUACGGCACAGAAUACAGAGAGAACCGAAGUCCCUUCGUAGACCCAGAGGCUCCAAACGAUUCGACUAUGGGCUACGGUAGUCACAUAAUACCAGGAGUAGGUGGAGAGUAUCUUAACUUAGUAUAGAGAAAAAGAGAGAGAGAGGAUAUAAAUGAUAUAUACUUUAUUAAACACGAAAACAGAAUUAACAUGGAUCAACAGGUAGCUUCGUAUAUUUUAUUGAUUUAGAAAAGAAGGUCCAUAAGCGUCCUUAAAAUAAAAACAUAUAAUAUUAUCUCCAUUAUUACAUUCAAUACAUCGUAUUAAUUAAACACGUAAUAAAUUGUACUAUUAAAUUCGUAUUCUUUCACUGAA
Molecule: long non-coding RNA, 769 nt
Organism: Bombyx mori (domestic silkworm)
Lineage: Eukaryota; Metazoa; Arthropoda; Insecta; Lepidoptera; Bombycidae
Exons: 4
Source: RefSeq, a predicted model, not a curated record